RNAcentral lists this long non-coding RNA (856 nucleotides) under Malus domestica (apple). Its description in RNAcentral is "long non-coding RNA (MDOM_LNC014280)". Lineage: Eukaryota; Viridiplantae; Streptophyta; Magnoliopsida; Rosales; Rosaceae. The record is from RNAcentral.
UAUAUGGAGGUAGGAAUAUACAUAUAAUGCUUACAGGAUCCUCUUCCCUGGACGAUGUGGGAUGUUACAUUAAUAGUCUCACAGUAUUCAAUUAAUGCUUGAUCCCCCAUUAAUGCUGUUUGAGUUUUCAAGCAUGUGCACACCCGUGUACGUUUUGGUUAUAUUAGCAUAACGAUUCGUGAAAUCUAAGGUAGGUGGGAAUUGAGAUGUAUAAAUCAGGCAAAGGAUUACGGAGGCGCCUUCAAUUUAUUUUAAAUAAUUACAUGUUAAUUGAGACACUAAUUACCAACAAUUUGAAGACACUAUUUACUAAAUGGUACUUGUGUAGAGCCUCAUGUAUUACAAGAAAAACGAGGUAGAAGGUAGAUGAAGAAUUGAAACAUGGUCCGCCAACAAGAUUAAUUAAGUGGGUACUGAUCGUUAUUUUUGUUAGAUCAAGGUUUAGGUUUGAGUCUCGCAAUUUCUUUUAGUGAGCGAUCUAUAAAAACUUAAAAAAAGGGCUAAAACUCAUCUGUAAGUCCUUAAAUAAGUAUAUGGUAUGUCUGAUCCUGAAUGUGGUAGCAUAAAUCAAAGUUGGACAAGAAUUAUGAGUCCAUCUUUUUAACUCUCUCAUAUUUUCCUCUUCACGCUUGCCCACUUCUCUCUCAUCUAUCCUUUUUCCUUUUUCCUCUUUCACCUUUCUCAACCUCUCUUUCUCUCCCUCUAUAUAAAUCUCAGGUUAUUUUUCAUGAAUUUUAAUUCAUGAACAACACUUAGGGGGUGUAACAUCCCACAUCGCCCAUAAGAGUGGAUCUUGUAAGCCUUAUAUGUAUAUUCUCAUCUCUACCUAGCACGAGGCAUUUUGGGAGCUCACUGG